AGAGUUUGAUCCUGGCUCAGAACGAACGCUGGCGGCAUGCCUAAUACAUGCAAGUCGAACGGUCUCUUCGGAGGCAGUGGCGGACGGGUGAGUAACGCGUGGGAAUAUGCCCUUUGGUACGGAACAACUGAGGGAAACUUCAGCUAAUACCGUAUGUGCCCUUCGGGGGGAAAGAUUUAUCGCCAUUGGAGUAGCCCGCGUUGGAUUAGGUAGUUGGUGGGGUAAAGGCCUACCAAGCCUACGAUCCAUAGCUGGUCUGAGAGGAUGAUCAGCCACACUGGGACUGAGACACGGCCCAGACUCCUACGGGAGGCAGCAGUAGGGAAUCUUGCGCAAUGGGCGAAAGCCUGACGCAGCCAUGCCGCGUGAAUGAUGAAGGUCUUAGGAUUAGUAAAAUUCUUUCACCGGGGAAGAUAAUGACGGUACCCGGAGAAGAAGCCCCGGCUAACUUCGUG
This 455-nucleotide ribosomal RNA is filed under the name uncultured bacterium. RNAcentral describes it as "bacterial SSU rRNA". It matches the Rfam family "Bacterial small subunit ribosomal RNA", at positions 8 to 507 of the family's 1533-position model. The record is from RNAcentral.